GGAAAAUGACACGAGUAAUAACAAUCAAUUGCUUGCAAGAUCUUAAGUAUAGUAUAGUAGAAGUGACUCCUCAUACGUAACUAUCUAUUAGCGACUUCCUCAUUUCUUCAACAAUGGAACUUGGUUGAGCCUCCCUCAAUUUGAAAACGCUCUCAAUGACCGAUAACUCGGUGGCAGUGGUGUCAGAACCACAAAAUGCAGUCCAGUCAUUUGCUGUCAAUCCAGCAGCAAUCACUUCACUUCCACGAUUCACGGUUCCAGCAACUAAAGGGACUUGAAGAAGGGUUGAUAGCUCAUCCAAAUCUUCAACAGAUGUAUGUGGAUGAACCAAGCCGCCCCUAUUCGUGAAAUUACAGUAGCUUCCCACGAGAACGUUGCCUGCUACUGUCUGCCUAAAGACCUCUACUCCAAGAACAUCAGCAAUGAGCUCUUCAGUUUCCCGAUCAAGAUCAGUAUGUGUGAGAGCAACAUGAUCGUUACAAGCAAUUGUAUUCCCCAGAGCAGACAGUCUCUCUUGUAUACGUUGAACAACAACUUGGUCAGGUAGACUGUUCCUCAAAUGCUGAAGUUCUUGGUCAGUAGUGGUGUGUGGUACAAGAAGUCCAUUUUUGUUUCCAGCACAAAGA
RNAcentral lists this unclassified non-coding RNA (626 nucleotides) under Hevea brasiliensis (rubber tree). The record is from RNAcentral. Lineage: Eukaryota; Viridiplantae; Streptophyta; Magnoliopsida; Malpighiales; Euphorbiaceae.